CUUAGAGCACGGCCAAUGGAGCAUCAAGCAAUUCAUCAGGAUUUAAUGGACACCGGGUUUAAUGAUUAUAGUGACUGCCUCGAACAGUGCACAAGAAUGGUGAUCCAUGGGCUUCCACGUGAUGAAACGAUUGUGCUCAGCAGCACAGAGCAUUAAAGCAGGCAAGGAGUGGGCUCACCUCCAUUUGGUGUUGCAUCAGGUUGGUUUAGGCCUCAGUGAUGGGCACUGGGGGCUGCUGCAGGGUGUUCUGUGUGUGACAACGUGGACAUUCAUUGUGGACAGCACAAAAGAUGGACUCAAUAUGGGUAUAUGCAGAUACACAGUGGAGCUGCCUUAGCACUGAAUGGACCAUAGUGUAUAUAAUGCCUGAGCAGAUAUUGAUUAUCAGUAUAUAAUUACUCCAGUUACAUGAAUAGGGAUAAAAAUAGGCCAUAGAAGUGAUAAAGACGUAUAGGAUAUUCUGGUAAGAAACAGCUGUCAACAGUGAGACCUCAAUAGACAGCAUGAAGGCAAGGUUCAUGUUUCUCAUGGACUGUCCUGCUGUAGGAAUACGUUUCCAUCACCUGAGAUGCUGCUAAGAUAUGUUAUUAUUUUUUUCAGAGGAAAGACAUUGAUGGAUGUGGACCAUCAUGGCAAUGGGAGGAGCUGGAGGUUGUGGGCUCUCACUGCAGUGCUGCCCCAGUGCCCAGCAGAGCACAGGAAGGAAGGUCCUGGCAGCUCACAACUCCAUACAAAGCCAAUCGCAGCAGGAAGUGCCCGCCGGGGCCUCGUGGGCAGCUUUAAGGCAUAUGUGGGAAAUGUACCUUGUAUCCCCUGCUGCAAUUUUAUAAGGUGCCAUAGGGAUCAUUUCCCACCUGCCCUGGCCCUCCAUGGGACUUGGAUCCUCGAUGCUGCAUCAGAAGAGGAAUCACAGGUUGCAGCUUGCAGGGCUGUGCCGACCUACAUGGCAAUGAGCACAGGGCUCCAUCACACUGCACAUCCCUCUAUGGGAAGGUGGAAUGUUCAUCUUCACCUUCUGCAGCCCAAGGGCUUCACUAUUGGUGAGCAACGUGCAUAACAAAUACAUUUAUGUAUUCGCUGCUAUCUCAUCUGUUUUCCAUUAGGAAUACACGUAAAGACACUCACCUAAAGUGAAGCGGAAGUAUCUGACACAUUUAUUUAUGGCAUCACGGGUGUUUCUUUUCAGAACAAGUUAUAAAAAACCUAAAAUUCAGAGGUCGUUUUUUUCUCUCUGCCUCACUGUAACAAACCCUAAAGGUCUUAAGGUUUAGUUUGCUACUACAGUUGCUCAUAAAUAAAGCUUGUUGGGAUAAAGCCCA
This 1319-nucleotide long non-coding RNA is filed under the name Coturnix japonica (Japanese quail). RNAcentral describes it as "lncRNA (ENSCJPG00005009493.1)". Lineage: Eukaryota; Metazoa; Chordata; Aves; Galliformes; Phasianidae. The record is from RNAcentral.